This 148-nucleotide unclassified non-coding RNA is filed under the name uncultured Saccharomycetales. RNAcentral's name for it is "sequence contains ITS1". Lineage: Eukaryota; Fungi; Ascomycota; Saccharomycetes. The record is from RNAcentral.
ACGAAGCCAUUUUGGCAUCAUUUCUUUCUAUUCUGUGAAUUUAUCUUUGCUUUGGGUGGUUUGUUUAGCAGUUUUGUUUUACAACCGCCCAAAUAACAAAACUCUUAAAUUUUUUGAAAUUGUCUGACUGAUUAAAAAAAAUUAAUCA